UUCUCGGCAGAUGCGUUGGUUGAGGUCAAGCCGGGCGAGAUCGGCAUGGUCUCUGGGAUCCCCGAAGAGCAUCUUCGUAGAAGAGUGGUGAUUUACACACCUGCUAGAACUGCUACUCAACAAGGAUCUGGAAAAAUUGGAAGGUGGAAGAUCAAUUUUAUGUCAACACAAAAGUAGGAAAAUCCAUUGAUGGGUUGGACAUCCACAGGGGAUCUAUAUGCCAAUGUUGGUGAUGCAGGAUUGAGUUUUGACAGCGAAGAGGCUGCAAGAGAAUUUGCUGAGAGACAUGGUUGGGAAUAUGUGGUGAGAAAGCCCCACAGACCAUUGCUGAAUGUGAAGUCAUAUGCAGAACACUUUUAAGUGGAAGGGUCCUCCCAAAACAGAUGGAAACUGUUUAUGUUGUCUCACCUGGAUUGUUACCAUAAAAUAAGUCAUGGGACUGAGGGUUGAUUUCUUUUGCUGCACAUUCUCUGUAAAUGGCAGAAUGUAGCACUAUGUUGAAUUUGUUGAUUAUAAUAAAACGGGACAUGUGGAUUGUAACCCUUUGCUCCUUUUAUGAUUUCUACAGAGAAGACAUGGAGCAUUUGGUGUUCCCCUGAGAAAAAAAAAAUCAAUUAACAAUCAUAUGAACAAAACUCAGAAAAACAAAAUAAAUUAACAAUCAUAUGAACAAAACCCAAAAAAAUAAAAUAAAAUAACAAUCACAUGAACAAAAUAGAUGUAGCAAAAUUUACCCAUAUAGAUGCAGCACCACCACCACCACCACCACCAUCACUAGGCGAAUCAGAGCAGAGACGUAGCAGCAGCACCACUAGCCGAAUCAGAGCAGAGACGAAGCGGCAGCAGAAGCAGCCGUCGAUUCUCAAUUACAGCAGCAACAGAGCAGAGACGCAAUAGCAAUAGCACACGGAGCUGAGAUGCAGCAGCAACUUUCUCUCUCAACAUAGCAGCAGUAGCAGCUUUCUCUCUCAACGCAAUAGGCGAUUUUGCUUGAAGAACUAUGACAGUCAAUUGUUGAUGAAAUACAAGAGUAAUCACGAAGAGAGAGAGAGAGAGGGCUCUGCGAAUUUAGAUUGAAUCAUCUUUUUUGUUUUCGUUUUACUAGUACUACAGCUUCAGUCGGUUACCCAUUUUCCAACUGUUAAAUCUCAGCCGUUAACUACCUUUGUUCACAAUCUAAAGGGUCAUUCGCUAAGAGACAAAGAACUGGGGUAUCAAACCCAUGACGUAAGGUAGCU
This 1238-nucleotide long non-coding RNA is filed under the name Citrus x clementina. RNAcentral describes it as "Citrus clementina (C. clementina) long non-coding RNA (CCLE_LNC005676)". Lineage: Eukaryota; Viridiplantae; Streptophyta; Magnoliopsida; Sapindales; Rutaceae. The record is from RNAcentral.